GCACUGGUGGUUCAGUGUAGAAUUCUCACCUUCCAUGUGGGAGACCCAGGUUCAAUUCCCAGCCAAUGUA
This 70-nucleotide transfer RNA is filed under the name Loxodonta africana (African savanna elephant). It matches the Rfam family "tRNA". From Rfam's summary of the family: Transfer RNA (tRNA) molecules are approximately 80 nucleotides in length. Their secondary structure includes four short double-helical elements and three loops (D, anti-codon, and T loops). Lineage: Eukaryota; Metazoa; Chordata; Mammalia; Proboscidea; Elephantidae. The record is from Rfam by way of RNAcentral.